GUUUCCUACGGGGGGCAGCAGUGGGGAAUAUUGCACAAUGGGGGAAACCCUGAUGCAACAACGCCGCGUGAGUGAGGAAGUAUUUCGGUAUGUAAAGCUCUAUCAGCAGGGAAUAGAAAAGAAGGUACCUGAAAAAGAAGCCCCGGCUAACUACGUGCCAGCAGCCGCGGUAAUACGUAGGGGGCAAGCGUUAUCCGGAUUUACUGGGUGUAAAGGGAGCGUAGACGGAAAGGCAAGUCAGAAGUGAAAGCCCAAGGCUCAACCAUGGGACUGCAUUGGGAACUGGCGCGCUGGAGUGCCGGAGG
RNAcentral lists this ribosomal RNA (305 nucleotides) under uncultured bacterium. RNAcentral describes it as "bacterial SSU rRNA". It matches the Rfam family "Bacterial small subunit ribosomal RNA", at positions 334 to 655 of the family's 1533-position model. The record is from RNAcentral.